CAGAGAAGCAUAAAACACCACCAAAAGCAAAUGCAUAAAUAAGAAGCAGAGAACAUCAGGGGAGAGUUUUGGUGCUGUUAGAAAAAUGUGCACGGCAUAAGAAAAUUUCCGUGGUGAUGACAUUAAUACUGUGCAAAAGGGCAAAAAUAAAACUCCGAGCUGCAUGCCAAGAGGCAGCAGCAGCACACAGUCAGGAGAAUGAAUGCUAGGGAGACAGUAGGACAUGACUAAAUGUGUUAGGCUGCAAAGCCUUCCUUAAAACUAUGUCAGAGACGGAAAGGAAUCACAACCAUGCAAAGCUGAACUAAAGCAAUGCGAUGUCUCCAUGCCAUUAGGCAGAGUAAAUUGCAAGUCAAAUCAGUGUUGCUGGCAGCACCAACUCUUUUGCUUUAAGCUGCACACAGCGGAUCCCUCAUCACACAGGUGCUCUAAGUCUGAAGCAAACAAUUCAUGCAGUCAAGGAGACAUCUGGUGAUCUCCCCGGGGCUGGGACAGACCUCAGCAGCCUGGAGCAACGCAACCAAUUCCUACUCUCAGAUGCACAGAAUCCAUCCAGAGUCUACGUUGCUACUUCUGAGGUCCCGAAUGAACGGCAGUGAAUAAAUAUUGCCGAGUCUUAAUGGAAAGUCAUGUCUUACCCAAGACCAUUCCACUGCACUCAGUAUAACCAGAGAUUUACCAGCUUAACUCCCCCUCUCCGGCUCAUAGUGACAACCCACAUAGCACAGAUUUGUGAAAAUCAGAGUUCACGGUGUCUUGAAGGCAAUGGGGGAGGCAUGAUCCAGAAUACAGUCUGUGUUGCUUCUCUGCCCCUCCUUAUUUCUUUUACAUCUUCCUGUGUUCGAAUACGUCUUGAAAACCGCAGAUCUGCUCUCUCCUGUAGGUGGCUCUUUUGAUUUUCUUUGUAUUUAUCACUCUUCUCUUUAACUCUCUUAAUUUCUCCAAUUAGAAAUACAGGAAAUGGCAGGUACCGUUGGUUUUAUACCUUUCUUUUUCCAUUCCUUUCUUUUUUUUCCUGCAGUCGCAUGCUUUUCACCAGAAAGAAAAGUGGAAGGCACAUGUCAGUGCCAACAGCACCAUCUUCUGUCUGCAGAGGUUAUGCAGCCUUCACUCACGCUUCCCUGAGUCCUCCAGAGAUGGGGCCGGUUGAGACUCCUGGAUCUACUGCUGGAUGUUGAGCUCUUCCUUUCGCUAGUGCUUUCGCUUCUACCCAACUUGUUCAGCUUCAUCUAAACUUAGAAGAUAUGUACACAGGUCCCACUCACGAAGAGCUCCAAGCAUGGCAUCCACCCAGCAGGAAGCUGUGUCCUCUGCAUCCCCUGCAGCCUCUCUGUCCACAGAAACCAACGUGGCUUCCCAGACAGAGCUCCCAGGGAACAUGCAGCCACUCAGGUGUAGGGUUGCAGAGAGUGCCUGAACUCUGGAACUCAAUGGACAAGCAAAUGUGGAUGAAGGUCCAUCCAGGUUGGAGGGGUCACUUAUGGUCACUUUCGUCAAGAAAAACAGAAAGGCAGUUGUUAGAGAAACACAGAAUAUAUCAAUCUGAAAGAGGAUCACCAGGAUCACUGAGUCCAACUGCCAGCUCCAAACAGAAACACCCAAAACUCAAACCCUAUGUCUGAGAGAAUUGCUCAAAUGCUCCUUGAACUCUAGCAGCCUGGGGCCAUGGCCACUUCCCUGGGGACCACUCCUGCUGCAGUUGUUAACAUACUGUUAAUACUAAGCAUAAAUUUUGCUAUUUAUGUACCAACUAGCUCAUUACAUAUUAAUGAAUGCCUUCUGGGUGUAUUCAGUGCUAGUCAGACAGGGAUAAUCUUUCUUCCCAUGACCCCUACUGUUCCUUUCUUUUUCUUGACUUCAUAUCUACCUUCCUGAUUUUUUUUCCCUUUAGCUUUCUGCAUCACGUUCACAUACUCCCUAGUCUAACCUCUCAUGAGCUGAAUUCCUCAUCCACUUGUCUGAUCUGACAAUCUGCAGUAGUGCAGUUCAAAUGUAAAUGCUGUGUUUCAGUUGAUAAGAUUUUGCACCCGUUGUGAUAAAAAUAAAGGCAAGGUGGAAUUCAGACAAUAAUGGAGAAAAACAAAGCACCUGAUAUGUUAUUGUUUUGAUUGUACACACCUUUAAAGCUUAAUUUGGCUAGGUCCUGCAUGUGCCUGGAACUUUUGGGGACUUAUUCAAGCCUGUUUAAAAGAAGUGCCAACAAUACAUCUUGACUGCAUGCUUUAGGUAACAAAUGGAAGAAUUACUAAAGACAUCAGAGUGACUGGAUAAGCAAACAAAACAUGCUAUAGCAUAGAAGAGUUCUCAGCUGGUAGCAUUCUGUUCAGUUAUUUCAUACAUCCUGUCAUUCCUCUUCUGCAAAGUGUUUUUGUGUGAGUGAAACAAGGUACAGUGUUUUACUUCACAUUUAAUUGUAUCACUUUGAAUUGUUUUCUUGAUCUUUUUCUUGAGUAGUUAUUUUAUUUGGAACGACAUACACGGCAAAGUGUUAAACCUAAAAGGAAACCUUAUUAACAAGCAGGAUUAAAAGUUGUUCCUUUUCCCACACAGGUAGACUUGUUGUGUUCUGCCAUGGUCAUGUGGACAGGUCUCAGCAACUAGAGAAUGCCUGUUUUAUAAAUGAUCGUUUGAAGCUGGCAGCCCAUGGCUUCAACAGCUAUGCUCUCUGUUGGAUAAAAAACUGGCUGGAGGACCAAGCCCAGAGAGCAGGGGUGGAUGGAGUUAAAUCCAGCAGGCAACCUGUCACGAGUGGUGUUCCACAAGGGUCCGUCUUGGGGCCUGUCCUGUUUAAGAUCGUUGCUGAUGAUCUCAACAAGGGGAUUAAGUGAACCCUC
Long non-coding RNA from Gallus gallus (chicken), 2834 nucleotides. Lineage: Eukaryota; Metazoa; Chordata; Aves; Galliformes; Phasianidae. The record is from Ensembl.